RNAcentral lists this small RNA (826 nucleotides) under Fuscoporia gilva. Its description in RNAcentral is "eukaryotic LSU rRNA". The stretch from base 277 to 430 matches the Rfam family "5.8S ribosomal RNA". Lineage: Eukaryota; Fungi; Basidiomycota; Agaricomycetes; Hymenochaetales; Hymenochaetaceae. The record is from RNAcentral.
AAGUCGUAACAAGGUUUCCGUAGGUGAACCUGCGGAAGGAUCAUUAUUGAAUUUUGAAGCGGGGUUCUUGAGCUGGCACUGCAGGUGCUCAGAGCCUCCAUUCAUUCCAAUUCAACCCCUGUGCACUUUUGAGAACCGAUAAGUUGGGUACGGAGCACGGUUCAUUUCCUUUUUUGGGUUGAACUUAGUGAAGUGUCCGCUUUCGUGUUUCUUAUUACAAACUCUAUAUAUUGUUUUGUAGAAUGUAUCGCCUUUGAUUAGGCAAAGUCUAAAUACAACUUUCAACAACGGAUCUCUUGGCUCUCGCAUCGAUGAAGAACGCAGCGAAAUGCGAUAAGUAAUGUGAAUUGCAGAAUUCAGUGAAUCAUCGAAUCUUUGAACGCACCUUGCGCUCCUUGGUAUUCCGAGGAGCAUGCCUGUUUGAGUGUCAUUAUAUUCUCAACUCUCUUGAUUUUUUUGAAUCGCUUGAGUUGGAUUUGGAGGUUUUUAUGCUGGCCCUCACGGAUCGGCUCCUCUUAAAUGCAUUAGCUGAGCUUUUACUUGAUGCAAUGGUGUAAUAAUUAUCUUCACCGAUGUAACUAGUGAAAUAGGCUUGCUUCUAAUCGUCUCUUAAUCGAGACACUAUAAGAAAAAGGGCAACCUUUUCUUUGACUCUCUUGACCUCAAAUCAGGUAGGACUACCCGCUGAACUUAAGCAUAUCAAUAAGCGGAGGAAAAGAAACUAACAAGGAUUCCCCUAGUAACUGCGAGUGAAGCGGGAAAAGCUCAAAUUUAAAAUCUGGCGGUUCUGCCGUCCGAGUUGUAAUCUGGAGAAGCGUUUUCUGUG